UUUAAAUAUUAUAAAAAAAAUUAGAGUAGUAAUAGAUAUGAUCUUAAAACUUAAAAAAUUUGGCGGUAUUUUAUUCUUUUUAGAGGAACUUGUUUUAUAAUCGAUAAUCCUCGUUAAAUCUUACUUAAUUUUGUUUAAUUUGUAUAUCGUUGUCAUAAGAAUAUCUUAAAAAAGGAAUAAUUUUCUAGUUUAAUAAAUAUUUUAGAUGUCAGAUCAAGGUGCAGUUUAUAAUUAAGAAAAAAUGAGUUACAAUUAAUUUAUAAUUAAUAAUGGAUUGAAAUUUUUAAUAAUUUUAUGAAGGUGGAUUUAAUAGUAAAUUUUAAAAUAAAUUAAAGUUGAU
Molecule: ribosomal RNA, 340 nt
Filed under: unidentified
Description: Euceroplatus sp. 1 NB-2020 partial 12S ribosomal RNA
Source: RNAcentral